GUAGGGUGGCCGAGUAGGUGGCAAGUUGUAGCCUUGUUUACGGGGCAUCCCCCCCCCCA
Molecule: transfer RNA, 59 nt
Filed under: Cyrtodactylus soni
Lineage: Eukaryota; Metazoa; Chordata; Lepidosauria; Squamata; Gekkonidae
Description: partial tRNA-Tyr
Source: RNAcentral